RNAcentral lists this ribosomal RNA (430 nucleotides) under uncultured bacterium. Its description in RNAcentral is "partial 16S ribosomal RNA". It matches the Rfam family "Bacterial small subunit ribosomal RNA", at positions 354 to 796 of the family's 1533-position model. The record is from RNAcentral.
GUGGGGAAUAUUGCACAAUGGGCGAAAGCCUGAUGCAGCAACGCCGCGUGAGGGACGACGGCCUUCGGGUUGUAAACCUCUUUUAGUAGGGAAGAAGUGAAAGUGACGGUACCUGCAGAAAAAGCACCGGCUAACUACGUGCCAGCAGCCGCGGUAAUACGUAGGGUGCAAGCGUUAUCCGGAAUUAUUGGGCGUAAAGAGCUCGUAGGCGGUCUGUCGCGUCUGCUGUGAAAACUGGAGGCUCAACCUCCAGCCUGCAGUGGGUACGGGCAGACUAGAGUGCGGUAGGGGGGAUUGGAAUUCCUGGUGUAGCGGUGGAAUGCGCCGAUAUCAGGAGGAACACCGAUGGCGAAGGCAGAUCUCUGGGCCGUAACUGACGCUGAGGAGCGAAAGCGUGGGGAGCGAACAGGAUUAGAUACCCCAGUAGUCC